GGCGGCCGGCCAAUGGACGGAUCUCUCGCUAACCCGGUCAGGUCCGGAAGGAAGCAGCCGUAACGAGUUCGAGCCGGGUCACUGGUUCGGUCACCCAC
Molecule: signal recognition particle RNA, 98 nt
Filed under: Rhodospirillaceae bacterium
Lineage: Bacteria; Pseudomonadati; Pseudomonadota; Alphaproteobacteria; Rhodospirillales; Rhodospirillaceae
Description: signal recognition particle sRNA small type
Rfam family: Bacterial small signal recognition particle RNA
About the family: The signal recognition particle (SRP) is a universally conserved ribonucleoprotein involved in the co-translational targeting of proteins to membranes.
Source: RNAcentral